UACAGAGGGGGCAAGCGUUGUUCGGAAUUACUGGGCGUAAAGGGCGCGUAGGCGGCCUUCUAAGUCGAACGUGAAAUCCCCGGGCUCAACCCGGGAACUGCGUCCGAUACUGGAAGGCUUGAAUCCGGGAGAGGGUUGUGGAAUUCCCGGUGUAGCGGUGAAAUGCGUAGAGAUCGGGAGGAACACCAGAAGCGAAGGCGGCAACCUGGAUAGCAACUGACACUCAACUGCGAAAGCGUGGGGAGCAAACAGG
Molecule: ribosomal RNA, 253 nt
Filed under: uncultured bacterium
Lineage: Bacteria
Description: partial 16S ribosomal RNA
Rfam family: Bacterial small subunit ribosomal RNA
Source: RNAcentral